This 451-nucleotide ribosomal RNA is filed under the name uncultured bacterium. RNAcentral's name for it is "partial 16S ribosomal RNA". It matches the Rfam family "Bacterial small subunit ribosomal RNA", at positions 29 to 523 of the family's 1533-position model. The record is from RNAcentral.
AGCGAACGCUGGCGGCAGGCUUAACACAUGCACGUCGAGCGGGCGUAGCAAUACGUCAGCGGCAGACGGGUGAGUAACGCGUGGGAACGUACCUUUUGGUUCGGAACAACACAGGGAAACUUGUGCUAAUACCGGAUAAGCCCUUACGGGGAAAGAUUUAUCGCCGAAAGAUCGGCCCGCGUCUGAUUAGCUAGUUGGUAGGGUAAUGGCCUACCAAGGCGACGAUCAGUAGCUGGUCUGAGAGGAUGAUCAGCCACAUUGGGACUGAGACACGGCCCAAACUCCUACGGGAGGCAGCAGUGGGGAAUAUUGGACAAUGGGGGCAACCCUGAUCCAGCCAUGCCGCGUGAGUGAUGAAGGCCCUAGGGUUGUAAAGCUCUUUUGUGCGGGAAGAUAAUGACGGUACCGCAAGAAUAAGCCCCGGCUAACUUCGUGCCAGCAGCCGCAGUAA